RNAcentral lists this long non-coding RNA (19275 nucleotides) under Triticum aestivum (bread wheat). RNAcentral's name for it is "long non-coding RNA (TAES_LNC010596)". Lineage: Eukaryota; Viridiplantae; Streptophyta; Magnoliopsida; Poales; Poaceae. The record is from RNAcentral.
AAAAAAGAAAAGUCUUUGCCUUGGUAGAGAUGCUCUUUCCAGGUCACGCUCCUCACUGCAAGGUGCUUCUAAUUGAAUAAAAGACUUUUCAUGUUAAAAGAAAAAUAGCAGCGCCCAGCCGACAGUGGCAAUUGUCGUCAGACAAUAGACCGAUCUCCGCGGGCCGUCUCAGUCAAGUCGCUCGCGUACGCCGCGUGGUGAGCAGCUAGCGGCGCGGCGGGGAAAACGAAGCGCGGGCAGAUACGACAGUACUGUCUCCAUCCCGUUCCGGCCGUGGAUGGAGACGGGCGAUCGGGCGAGGUCAGCACAACCAGAAUCUGCAGGCGCCGCCGGCCCUGCGAUCGUGUCCCGGAGCCUCCCGUGUACCUCUCGGUUCCUCUCCAGUAUUUUUNNNNNNNNNNNNNNNNNNNNNNNNNNNNNNNNNNNNNNNNNNNNNNNNNNNNNNNNNNNNNNNNNNNNNNNNNNNNNNNNNNNNNNNNNNNNNNNNNNNNNNNNNNNNNNNNNNNNNNNNNNNNNNNNNNNNNNNNNNNNNNNNNNNNNNNNNNNNNNNNNNNNNNNNNNNNNNNNNNNNNNNNNNNNNNNNNNNNCGUGAGUUACUACAAGCUAGUAUAGCUGUAUAUGCUUUGCUUACCGUGCGACGUUGGAUGUUGCAUGCUUGCCGAGCUAGGUGAAGGGAUCGCCUUUCCUUGCAACGCUGCAUGAAGGACCCUCCAAGCUCCACUGGCGUGAGGGUAUCUCCAACGCGACUCUUAAACUUUCCGCAUCCGCUUGUACCGUACCGUCCCAACCACGAAAGCUAUCCAACGCGGUCAUGUAUCGAUCUGCAACACAGUUCAAACACGGUUUUUUUUCAAACUAGAGACAAACGCGAGGAGAUUUGUGGGAGUCUGCAUCGCUGUCAUGACAGCUUAUGACAGCAUUGGCCCACCAAACAUCCCUCCCCCCUCGGCGCGUGCGCUUCCCGCCCGUUUCCCAGCUGCCCGCAUCCAUAUGCCACUGUAGAGCGCGCCGCUCCACAUUGAAGGCGGCUCAGAGCGGACACGACCUUUGACUGCCUUCGUCGUUGAAGCGUCACGCCACCCGCUGCACGCCCGACUGAAACACACCUCUCUGCCGCAUUCAAAGGUCUACAUUAAACCUGCGUGGAAGCCGAGAAACCUACUCUGGCCACAUGUUCGUUCAUGAGCUGGCCGGCAUUAAACACAACGCCGGGCAAACUCCUCUCGUUCAUCCUCUAUUUAAACGAGGCCAGGCGUCGGGCAAGAAUCACACCACUUUGCCACUCCCUAUCUCAUUCUUCCACCAUUUUAUCCAAUCUUUCGAUCGCAUCCGACGAGCCGGAAUAGCGGGGCUCCGACAUAAAAGCCGGCUGGGUGGCCCGUCGAGCCCGCCGGAUACGAGCGAGGCAGCUCCUUGCUCCACCUCCCUCGCCUAGCCCGACGGAGCAAGUUGCCGGCCCAAGCCGGCGUGUGGUUCAGCAACUCGCAGCUCCACGCCAGAUCGCGUAGGAGUGGCGAGUUGCUCCAUCCCGGCAUGGCAGGGAGCACAACGACACGGGCAUAGUCGCUGCCGUCGACGUUGACACGUCGUACCACGCCUACAGUGCCUGCGACCGUGCCAUCCGCCGUCAACGUGCACGUAGCCGCGCCAUGCACGCAGAGAAAGAAGCCGGCUAUGCAGAUGGCGACAAGGUGGCGGCAUGCACGUCCAUGCCCGUCGCCAUCAUCGAGGUGAAAUAGAACACGGGAGGCCGUCGCCGCUUGGGUCCCAGGAAGGACACCUUUGAGGCACCGCCGGCAUACACAGUAGGUAUCUUGCCCUCUCAUCGGCCACCAUCAUCCCCUUACCCAAGAACCAACUUUGAUCCGUGCUGCAGAGGGACCCUUCCCCUCCGGCUAAAGCAUCAGGCGGCAGUUUCCACUCCGAUGAGCGGCGGGGAAGCGAGUCGUCCUUUGCGCUGAAGCAUAUACCUCCGGGACUUUCCGCUGACGGUCAUGGGGACGGCGUUGGAGACCCGCCGCGCCGGCUGUAGACUAGCCCGGUUUCACUUUUUGUUGAAAAUAUGUUCAAAAUGUAACCGUUUUCGUCCGGAUUGUAUGAAAUCCGUCAUGUUUAUAUGAAAUCCAACCGAGUUUGCAUGAAUUUCAUCCAGUUUGUUGAAAAAGAGUUUGAAAUGUAUGCGAUUUUUUUGUUUUUAUUUGAAUAAAGAGUUGUGAGGCUGUUGCCUUGCAGUACAUAGUAAAAAAAUGUAUACGGCUAGCGUUGGAUGGCGGCGUCCCACAUCCUGGUCCGCGGACUGGUCCCCCCUUAUUCGUGGAUGGAUGCGAGAGAAAAUUUAUAGGUCGCCGUUGAAGAUGCCCUAAUGUAGCUUGCACUCACGAAAUGCAGACGGAUAGCAACAAGGAUGACAGUAAUGGCUUUCCAUUUUGUUUAUUGGAAAAAGAACCAAGGUGCGCCCCUGCAGAUAUAAGCCAGUGCAUAAGCACAACUCUAACUUGGAUCACCAGACAAACGACACUAAAUGUUUGUACACACGUCUAGACGUGUCUGUGUCCCGCCAUCCAACCGUAAUCAUCAGAUGUUCAUAAUGCCCAAUGAUAAAUAGCACGAUUCUUCAUAAUUAAAGUAUAAAUACUUCAAUGCAACAAUAAUUCGAAUAGAAAUAUUACAAUUCAAACACGGCUCCGGUGAGUUUUUUGUGUGUCUAUGCUGUCAGGUCGUGUGUGGCGAACGACCAAACGUCCACAAACCUCCUCCUGGUUUGAUGCUUCUUCAAAAGAUUUCGGACGUUUGAACAGGUCCAGAUAAUUUGAUGACUCAAAAAUGUUUGGAACGUUGGUCGGAUCGUUUGCUGGGGAUUUAGUGAUCCGCGUUGAAGUUAUCCUAAUCAACUUGUCGUGUGCACAUGGGAAGAUGUGCACCUUGUGCCCGCACGUGCUUGGUUAAGCACUCACCACUAGCAGUUCACUACUCUGGCUGCUGCAGGAGCGAACAAGCAGUGGAUGGCACAGGCCAUGCAUGUGCACACGAUGCGUGCAAUUGCCCUCGAGACCCUGCGGCUGUAACCGGAUCGAUCUAGCAGCACGUGGUGCAACAGUAGUAGAGUUUAUGGAUAGAUCCACGCCGUAACAUGCCGUCCAAUACGACACGGAUCGGAUCGACCGCACUUCAUCACGAGUCAAAAGCAAACCACAACCUCCAUACGUAUCCGUACUGCUCUUGCACACAUAGAGAUCUUGGAGCACUCUUCGCACAAAAAUGAAGAAAGAGAGAUCUUGGUGCACGACGACGAGAAAACACAAAGAUGCCAAGAACCGACGAUUCGUUGGAGGCUCGCCACCUGGAAUUAAAUCAUAGGUUUGGAUUUAAUGGCAUCUUCAAGCGGACCCAUAAACCUCCAGAAACUUUUCGAUCUGCGUUGUCCGGACCGCCGAAGCCAUCCAACGCGGUCGUGUAUCGGUCCACAGGAAGGUCCGGACGCGAUUUCUCCCAUAAACCGAAGACAAACGUGAGAGAGGUGUGCAAGAGUCCGGACCAAUCCCACGCACGCUUCUGACCAUCCUGGCCGACCAAAAACCCCUCACCCGCCCCUCCCGCGCUUUUCUUCCGAUGCAGGCGCCGCUUAACGCGUCGUAUUCAUGUCGGCCCAGAGCACGCGGAGGCCGACAUUGAUGCCACGAUAUGACCGGGGAGGAUGGAGGGCGGCGCUAACCGGCGCGACCUCUCGAUGGCCGCCGCUUCAAUGCGGACGCAGGUUCUUGAGGAACCAACUCCGUCCGCUGCGCCGCAUUGAAGCGGACCCCAUUCGCAUGGGCCUCGUCGCGGCUAUUCAAACAAUGCGCCGGAGAUCCACAGGCAUGCACCACCCCCUCCCCGAGCAUCGGCCCUUUCCCCUCCCCCGUCUCCGUGCCCUCCCCCCUCCCCCUUCUUGACCCAAGCUUCGGCGAUGCCGAAGUCGUGGUGCUCCGCACCGGCAAGCGGAGUAGGCGGAAUCCUCCGACGGUUCUUGGCACCGCCGCAGACGCUCUUCGGGCCAGUCGACGUCCACGGCGGCCCGCUCCUCCGCCCAGGAGGAGAUCAUCAUCUCCACCGGUGACGAGGAGGACCAGGCGCCGCCGCGGCAGACGCAUGAGCCACCGUAGCAGCUGCGUGGACUCCUCAAGGAGGCCGCUCUAACGGACGAAUAUUUCUUCCGUCAGAUCGAUAUAAUCAAGGAGUGGUCACUCCGCAACAUGGGGUUGUCGCCGCCCGUGUGAAGGAGGAGCCGGGCUCCCUGCCCGCCACCGCGACAAGACCGAGUCGGCACAACCGCAACGUCCAGAUCAGACAUCGUGUGAAGGAGGAGCCAGCCUCACCCCGCACCACCACGGCGUCCGGAUCAGACUCUGCGUAAAGGAGGAGCAUGCAUCUCCGCCACGCAGCUAGUAUGGCCGCAUCGACGCGCCGUUGUCGCCGCCGCGCCGCCACUGCCUCGCCGUCAAGGAGGAGUUGUCGCCCGCGAUCAAGAAGGCGCUGGGCCGCCUCCUCACUACCUCAGCGGCCCCUCGGGCUCGGGGGGUCGUCGUGUUUGAGGCGGAGCGCAUGACUCGGCAGCAGGAGCGGUACGACGACGCAAUGCCAGUCGUUGCUCCGCAUUCACCAAGAGCGACGUGGCGCUAGAAUGAGUUCGUAACGACCCAGACCUCACUGCCACGUGGGCGCUUGACCUCUCUGUGACCACCACAAAGACGGUUGCCAGGCGUCGCCACUGCCUUGACAGCGAACUCGCGAAGAUCGGCGAGGAGUGGCCGCUUAGUGGCAAGGUCGCCACCAGGGCUCCGAAGGCCACGUCGGCAGUGGCCACAACGGCAGUCCGCACGGCGUAGUGGGAGGCGGAGCGGCUCCUCCGCGAGCAGCAGACAUCCGCCAGACAAGGCUGUCGCAGCCCUCCGGCGUCGUACCGCAACUGGAGGGACGGCGACGAUGGCACCGAUGAAAGGGCAGGGCGGCCACGCAUACGAGGUGGUUGUCCGGUAUAGGUUUAGGUUUUUUUUCUAUUCUUUUAGUUGAACGGUUGAAAUAUUGAUCUUUUUAUGUAAAUUAUGUCCGAACUUGAAUGAAAUCCGUCCGGUAUGAUCGAAUUUCGUGAGGUUGGUUUGAAUUGUUGGUCGGAUAUAUGCAGCUAGCGUUGGAUGUCGGCCUCCCACAUCCGUGUCCGCAGACUGGUUCCUCCGUAUCUGCGGACGGAUGCGGGAGGAAAUUUGUGGGUUGCCUUGAAGAUGCCCUUAGGCACCGCAUCCGUCCUCGGGCAGGGGAUCAGUCCACAGAAGUAGCUGCGGGAGCCGGCCAUCCAAUGCUAUCCACACAUAUUUCAAAUUGCAUUUUAACUAACUGGACAAAAUUCAUCAAAUACGACGGAGUUCAUCAAAUUUUAGAUAGAAAAUAUCACAAAUCAUCCAUACAUAGAAUGCAAACUAGUCUAGUACAACGAUAGUUUAAGUUCAACACAAAAUAGUUCAAAUUCAACUAGAUUAACCGAAUGUUCAACAAAACUUUCAUCAAUGGAUCAUGUCAUCCCACACAUAAUGCCCUUUGAGUUUCAUCCAACAAUGUAUGUCCAUGAAUGACCUGUCCUCUUUCCCGUGGUACAUCACUAUUGAAUUUAUGCUCCAGCCAACUCAUCCAAAAGUCCGAACAGAUGGAGGGAGGUGAGCAAUAUAUUUCAACACUCCCCCUCACGUCUAGGCUAUUUUAGUCCUUAGAUGUGGGAUCGAUGUAGGCCGCAGAAUCGUUUUAUUUAAUACUGCGUCGGCAGGGUCUUGAACUCAAGACCUCUUGGCUCGGAUACCAUAUUGAAUUCAUGCUCCAGCCAACUCAUACAAAAGUCCGAACUGAUGGAGGGAGGUGGGCAAUAUAUUUCAACAAUCACGACAAUGUGUAUAGGCUACACGAUAUAUAGAGCAACAUUGAGUGAAUAAAUGAAUCAAUCAACAAAUUGGGCAAGAAGAAGCAAAACUUAAGAUCUCAACGACUAUCGCGCGCAAUGGCCACAUUGCCUCCAGCCGAUCAACCACUUUACAAACUUGACUUCACAUUGCAUUCAUGGAUGAUGUGCAUGGUGCUUAUUGAGCGUGAAACGAAUCAUGCCCCCGCUGCCAGAAGAGCCCCUUUCUGCUCCUGCCUACAAAAUUCGCGGAUAUGACCAACCACACAUUACACAACAAUCAUCCUCCAUGCUCGAGCACCCCGCCAUCCUUCGUACUCUAAAAAAUGACAUCAAGUUCAAAAAUUGCUCAAUGACAUGUGACCAAACACCUGUCGGGCAUGGUGUCAGCCAUGGACAUCGCCGACAAGGGGGCGUAGGGUACCUGGCUGCGAAUGCAUCCUGGGUGGGCGGCGCCGUACUACAAGUCAAGCUGGCCCGUGGGUGGUGGUUGCGGACAUCCAACAAUGUCUGCGUGGCACCCAAAGAGGUACAAAUGUGGCGUUGGAGGAGGAGGGCACGGAUGCAAAGCAAGGGGGAGUAGGGGCGAAGUGGAAGAGACUGGCACUGAUAGGGGGAUUUGAGUGGCCUGGGGGUGUCGGAGUCCUACAUGGCUAUUGUUCGGACUCCCGCAAAGCCCCCCAGUUUGCUUCCACUUUGCGGGAAAAAGUGCGUCCGGACCGAUCGGCAGACCAACACUGGCCCGUGUUGGAUGGUAAAACAUGUCCGGACCGUGGGGUCUAGGCGGAUGCGGGCGUUUGAGGGUCCACUUUGAGAUGCCCUUAUAAAAGAUUAUUUAUUUAUUUUGCUACCCCCUGUUCCAUAAUAUAAGUUUAUUUUGGGGGUGAAAAGGAGUUUUAUUCCAUAAUUAUAGAGUUACAGUCGAGAUGCAGAAGUACCUCGAUACAGGGGACCCCUUGGUACAACCUCACAACAGUGGUGCACUCACUACAACUACAAUUCGCCAACCAAUCGGCUACUCUAUUUUGAUCUCUACCGAGCUUCCGUGGAAUAAACUCCCCAUCGUCCAUCAAUGCUUUGAUCUUGGUAGCUAGGUGUCCAUAGGCCAAGCAGACAAAACCACUACCCGACGGGAUAGAAAGAGCCUCUAUGGAAUCUGAUUGAACAAUGACUAGGAGAUUACUAUGUUGAAUGGCAAGAGCCAUCCCUUGCAUCAGUGCAUGUAUCUCCGCCUCGAAAGCUUCAUUACAAUUGAACAUGAACCAGUAUGUCGCAAAGAUCACCGAACCGUCAUGAUAGUGAAGAAUCAUGCCUACAACCGCCUUACCGUCGUCCAAAGACAAUGAACCAUCAACAGAUAACGUGACUUGAUCGACCGGAGGUGGCGGCCGGCGAUGUGCAGGGGUUGGAAUCCUCACCUUUGGCUGUACCCCGUCUUCCACAACUGGCAUCUUUCCUUUAACUAUCUCCUCAAUUGUGUACCUCCCAGCAUGAACAAUGGAUUUAUGUAGCUAUCAAGGAACUCCACCAUAAUAUCAAUGAGGGUGCCUCCUUGCCAUGAACUAGGUCAUUGUGCAGCUGCCAAAUUCGUCAUAUUAGAUAAUAACGCGGUCGCGAACGUCCUCUGAACAACCACACAAAACGUUAAGUAGCCAGUCCUGUCUCAACUAGUUGGUCAUCGGCAGGUAGUUGCCGUCUAGUCUUCAUCCUUACCCAAAUACACUUGGCGUGGUCACAAGAAAUCAAUGCAUGGCAGAUUCCCUUGUCCUCUACACCACACAAGGUGUAGGUCGAACGUGUGGACAAGUGCCGAGAAGCCUUGCAGGUCGUGAUAGCAAGAGCACCCGACAUUGCGCUCCAAAGCAUGAUCUUCCUCUUUUGGGGAACCUUUGAUCGCCAGGUUAAGUUCCAAAUGAUCCGAUCCCCUUCUGGGCUCGAGCUCAAGGCCCGCCGCGAAUAAAUCAUCAUUAGGACCUGUCGUGAGUUAUAUGCACUCCUGAUAGAAAAGUGCCCACACUUCUUUGGGAACCAUAGAAAAAAACCCUCACGCUGUCUGGGUGAAGUGUGGAUUUUUACAAUUUCACGCACAUCCAUGGGCUAGAAGUGGUCCUGAAGACGAGAUGAACGUCCCAAGCAUCAAAAUCCGAGACCCAAUCAAAGCCGCAGUUCUGUUUAGGUGUCACUGACCUGAAAGACGGUCCCCUAGGGAUCCAGGGAUCUCUCCAUGUUCGAGUGGAAGAGCCAUCCCCCACUCUUCAAAUUAUACCUUUCUUAACAAGUUCAAGUAUGUACUCAAUACCUUUUCAUAUUGCCGAUGAGUUACCCAAAAACACCGUGUCUAGAAGAUUGCCAUUGGGGAACCAUUACAAGUUAUUACACCUAAUGUGUGAGUGAUCUCCUAUAGAAAAUAGCCUAAAAAACACACUUUGCCUACCAACACAAAAAUGGAAGAAAUGAGGUUGCCAAUCUCUUUCACGGUCUCCAUCCUUCUUCAGAUCUCUCUCUCAUUCUCCCUUACCACAUUGGCGACAAUUCAAAUCUCUCUCAUUAUGUCCCCAUAUUUGCAAUAAAAUAUGUUCACGUGCGAUCUGCAUUAAAUCAAAAUUUUGAUUUGAGUGAAUUUCUGCAAUACAAGUUAUGUAUAUUUUUCAAAAGAAAUCCACUUUAUGAUUUUUGCUUGUAACACAGAUCACCUAUUUUAUUUUAUAUGCCAAAAAUUGACAGACACGAGUUUACACCCACUUAAUAAGCGCAUCAAUUUUUAUCUGUGAGUUCUACAAAACUUUUAAAAAAUGCUAUACUCACUAAGUUUCGGAAAAUGAGUUACGCAUUUUCUAAUAAAUCCGCUCUAGUCGACAGCCAGAUGAUCUAGGUCCACUCCAACGAAACGUGGGCCAAAAAUAUCUCCACUCAUAGGAGAAGAGGCAGUGGUUUCUCAAAAAUAAAAAGAGGCUGUGGAUGCCUGACUACAGUCUUUGAACAAACAUUUUUGUCAUUUCACCGCUUCCGGUGCUCAAAUAAUCGAAGAGAUUAAUCAUUGUACCACCAGCUCCACAUAAAAGAACAAAACACAAAAACGCCGGGAACCAACCCAAUGAUAAAACACCACUUGAAACGGACCAUGCAUGCGUCCGGAAUCCCAUAAGCAUGCCCUCCGGAAUAAAACAGAUUAGGGUCACACCACGCCGAUCAGCAUCACGUCCAUGUGACCGGCCACCAACCGGAGAGAAGAGAAUGGAGUGGAGAGCGGCCGCUAGCUUGCGUCGGGUCCAAUCCAAACGCCAUAAACACUCACACCACUCGGCGCCGUGGUGGGUAGAGCGAGCGAGCGAGGGAGGGGCCGGGGACCAGACCAACUCCCCAUGAUGCUGUCAGUGGCACGGAAUGUAGAGACAGCGCUGAUAGGCCGAUGGCCGAACGCCGUGCGCUGUUGCCCGUGAUUACCCGAAUGGCCGGAUCGCCUUUGCUAGUAGCCUUUUUGGCUUUGGUGGUGCCUCGCAGGUGAUGGUGGUGGUGGGCAGGCCGGGACCAUUUACAGCGGGGAUAAGAAAUCGUCCAGGUGAAGAACUGUUCCUUGGAACGAAUGCUGAAGUUUCUCAAAAAAAAAAAAAAACUUGGGAUGCUGAAUGUGCCAAGCUGGCACUGACUGACAUGUGGAGGAGCAUCGCGCCCGUCCGUCGCCGUCCCGCUGCAUCCGGUAACCACCGCCGAUCAACGUCGGGCGGGCCGUGGCGAGGGAAGUCCACACGGUUACGAUCUCCCCAUCAUUUCACCCCACCCCACCUCACCUCACCCCAAAGCGUCAAUGGCAAUCAAUCCGAGGACGGGGAAAGAUGGGCUGGUAGCGGGCGGGUGAAAAGGCAGGAAAUACUUUUGCUUCCCCUCCGCUGGGGCAAACGCAAGCCCGAACGAAAAGGGCUUCGUCAGCCGGGGGCAGAGAGGUUAAAAAAAGGUUAGGGGAGGGGAGGCCGGCGGAGCGCGAGGGGCGAGGCGACGCGGUGCGGUGCCGGGGACGGGCGCUGCUGGCCACGGUUAUAAAAAGUAACGGGGCGCGUCGCGGGUAGAAAGCCAGGGGAGGGUGCGGUGGGAGGCAGGCCGCGGCUCAUUUCCCCCCUUCUUUCUUCCCCCCGCCCGCCCGCGCCGUUCCACGCCGCCGCCGCCGCCCGCCGCCCGCCGCCCGCCGCCGCCACGGGGACACAAUCACCGGCGCCGCGCCCCACCGGCCUCCUCCUUUGCGCCGCGCCGCGCGGGGCUGGGCUGAGGUGGGCCGCGCCGACACGCGGCACGUGGGGAGCCACCACCACCACCACCACCACCACCCCUAUGCUCCUUUGCCCGCCUGCUAAGGUAAGGUAUGGCAUCGAUUCCGCUCCAUUGCCCCCGCCUUUCUCGCGUCGCGCUCCGUCCCUCUCUCUCCCUCCUCGCUUUGCUUGCUCCAGGCGAUUUGCCCCGGAUCUGUGUCCCAGCCGCCGGAUCUGAGCGCCCACCGGGCAUUCGCUCCAAUGCGAAUCCAUGUAUAGGUUUGUGCCUGGCCGUGCCGCGAUAGCUUAUUUUCAGGAUUGUGCCGGGAUGCUUUUCUGUUUGGAUUUUUCAUCUUCCUUUGGUUGGCUGAUUUAGAUUUUUGCGCGGAAAGGUUCCUUUUCUCCCGUUAAAAGGCGCCUUUUUUCUUCCUAUAGAUGAGAAAAAUCUAUGUUUUCUGUGCUUGCAAUGUAAAUUGUGAUUGAGGUGGCAAUGCAGAAGUUUGAGAGAGAAGCUCAGAAAAACAAGGUAGCAAUGCAGGCGUUUUCCCACUAAUUCCAACCUGAGGCGAUAUUUUGAGUUCGGAGAUGUUUCUAUAUGUAUGGAUUUUGCUACGAUAAAUCCGUUUCAGCCAGUAAUGGGAUAGCAACAUUAUUUUCGAAUUUUGAUGUUUCAAGCAACGGUAUAGCUCGAUCACCACGCCAAUUGAGAUGCCGGGUCGUUAUUGCGAUUGAUGAAUAGCAUCAUUGAUAGUACCGAUACUGUUUGCAAUGUCCAGCUCCACCAAUGUUAUACACUUCUACCCUGGUAUUAAUGUAUGCCUAGUAUUAUGUGAUUUAGGUAAACGAGUGCUAUAUCUGAUUCUGAUAUUUCCCUGAGAAAUAUGUUUCGUUUUGUGCAUUAAUGUUGGUUCUAGCAACACGUGAGCCGCAAAUUAUUAUCCACUUAAAAUGAUUCAAUUCAAAAUUUUGCUGUGUACAGACCUCCAUGUAUCUUAGUAUAUUAAAAGGGAUAUUAAAAUGGAUUCUUUAAACUAGAUUCGGAAAUGUUGCUAAAUUUGUGUUGGUUUCUGAUAGAGAUCGUCAGUUGACUGCGUUAUAUAUAAUCCAAAUGGUUCUACGUCGCAUCAAUGUUCAUGCUUCGUGGAAAUGAUUCUUGUUCCUUUGGCAUACACUAUACCAUGUCAUCGAGCGCAAAAAGUUUUAUAAUCGACCACAUCAUUCUGAUUCAAAUAAAUUGUGUCAGAUUGCACCAGCAGUGAUCUUGGGAGCUUAAAGUGUUCAUCAAAGACAUGGGAAAAGUGGUCUUCGGGGCAUAUCACCUUCAAUGCAAGCUAUUUGUUUCAGAAGAAACUUUUGAUUGGCGUGUUUUAGCUCGUGGGAACACCCAACUCUUCUCUCUGGUGAACUGCACAUAGUGGUUCUAUGCUCAACGACAGCAGGCUGAGGCGAUCCUGAAGCGAUACUCCAGUCUAUGCUCCACAUCUACAUGUAAAAUACCUGCUUUGUUUUUCCUUUCUUUUGUUCUAUUGGCUAAGUUUUUAUCAUCUCAUUUUGUUUAUUCUCUGUUUAUCAGCGCAUCAUCUCCAGAGUAACUUCUUAUUGUAGUCAAAUCCAGUAGUAGAUGCUGAUCAUGUAAACUGGCCAAUGAUGUGCUCGUAGAAUAAUUAAAUUCUACUAUUGGGAGUUCAAACUGUUCUUUCCUGCAUGUAUUAGCAUGUGAAAACUAAAUCAACCAUAUCUCUUGAAACAUUCUGAAUUUCUUUUCUCUUAAUAUAUGCAGGGUCAACCAUCUUUACUGCAUUCAGUCUCCAUCUGUCACUCCCUAGUUAGUUGCCAUUUGCUUGCUGUAUAUCAUCUGAGGUCAAGGCUCAUCCUUGCUAUAUUCUGGGACUCUACUAUGGUUGCUGUGGGAUCUUCGUGAGGGGACCAAAUCCAAGACAGCACAAACCAGUGGAGGCCCACUGUUCAAUUGACGGAUCAUACAUCUGUUUGUGCGAACUGAUAGACAAGAUAUUGGUCGCUUAGACUUUGAAACACUUCUCUGUGCUUGUUGUUGAUUUUUCUUGAUACCUGGUUGUCCCAAAGGAAAAAGGCUUCUUGAUACCUGGUUGUCCCAAAGGAAAAGGCUUCUUGAUACCUGGUUGUCCAAAGGAAAAAGCUUCUAUCAGGCAACAAAAUUACCGGAAAAAUGGAUAGGUAACCCUUUUUGUAUUUUUUCUCUCCUCUGGAUAACAGUUGUAUUGAAUUCCUGUUUCGGGUUUGCAUUUUUCUUAGAGCGCCUUAUCUUUGCAGAUUCAAGUUGAUUAAGGAAGUUGGUGAUGGGACAUUCGGGAGCGUAUGGCGCGCUAUAAAUAAACAAAAUGGUGAAGUUGUACGUAUCCUAUGAUAUAUCACUCUUGCUAUCUUUACCUGAACUGUGAAACAAUGAAGUUGACGUCAAUGUUUCAUAUUAAUCCAAUGUAGGUGGCCGUUAAGAAAAUGAAAAGAAAAUAUUAUUCUUUCGAGGAAUGUAUGAGUUUACGUGAAGUAAAGGUACUUUAGCCAGUCAUGUACUCGUCUCUCUGAUGUUCUCUAGCAUAUUACUUACCUUCAAAUAACAUGUCUUCUUUAUUGAAGUCUUUGCGGCGCAUGAAUCACCCUAACAUAGUGAAGCUCAAGGAGGUCAUAAGGGAAAAUGAUAUAUUAUACUUCAUAAUGGAAUACAUGGUACUUAAGCACGUGAUUGAUAACAAAGUUUAUAACUACCCCAUAUCAUGCUUUUGUUGAAUAUUGUCCAUUGUUUCAUUUAGGAGUGCAAUCUCUACCAACUUAUGAAAGACAGAGUAAAGCCUUUCGCGGAGUCAGAUGUCCGUAAUUGGUGCUUUCAGAUUUUCCAGGCUCUUGCCUAUAUGCACCAGAGGGGAUACUUUCAUCGUGACCUCAAACCAGGUAGGAUUUCUUAUGUACUCAUCUACCCCCUGCCCUGUAUUUUUCUACCAGCCAAAUUAAAUGGAAGUCUGACAUUAGUGUAUUGUGAGUUGUAGUUAAAGCCUUCUAGCAGCUAUAGGUGUUCCAAUUUUGCAGAUCAACUGAUGCAUUUUUUUCAUUCAUUCAUAUUUUAUUGUUUUAUUAACUAUAUUGCUAUACCAUUCCAGAGAAUCUGCUGGUUAGCAAAGAUGUCCUAAAGCUAGCAGACUUUGGUCUAGCAAGAGAAAUUUCAUCUGCACCACCAUACACAGAAUAUGUGUCAACACGCUGGUUAGUGCCGCUCCCAUGGCCCCACCACACAGAGAACAACAAUGAUAUACUUUUUCUUGAACCCCAUGUGUUUCAAUGUCUUAGGUACCGAGCACCUGAAGUAUUGCUCCAGUCAUCUGCUUAUGAUUCUGCAGUUGGUAAGAACCUACUACUGUCUACUUUGUGCUUGCCUACACAUGCUAGCAACUAAUAAAUGGACCUUCUUCAUAACUUGGUAGAUAUGUGGGCAAUGGGUGCCAUAAUGGCCGAGCUGUUGACACUCCAUCCUCUUUUCCCUGGCACAAGGUAAUAUGGUUUACCAUAUCUUCUGCUAUUGUGACUGGCACUCUCUGCAUACUUCGUAUGAUUGUGUCUGUUCUUUUCCCCUCGUAGUUACCGUCUUUGAUCACUUGUUUCUUAUUUCACUGUAUAGUGAAGCAGAUGAGAUUCUCAAGAUUUGCAACGUUAUUGGUUGCCCAGAUGAGCAAACAUGGCCCCAGGGAUUGUCUCUUGCAGAGGCGAUGAAGUAUCAGUUCCCACAGGUCAAUAUUCAUGUUUCCUUGUCUAUAGUACUAUUGCUGUGAUUCUCCAGGUCAGCAAUUCUUGUGUAAGCAGUAGAAUUAAUACCUGUUAUUUGCGUUAUCUGUAAGUUACUAGCAUCUGUGAGCUGUGUUAUUUCCUUCGUCGUCAUGCAUUUUAUGCCCUCAUGUUAAUCUUAUGGGUCCUGUUUUCUUGAGAAUAUCAGGGCUGCUUCACUUUGCAUAUUGUGUAGCCUUCACACCUUUUUAAAUGUUAUGCAUGGUUUAUGGAGUGCAACUCCAUGUUAGGUUUGAAACAAGACACGAGUCAACAUCUUGUUCUAACUUGAUUCAUGACUUUAACCUAGAUUAUGUGUGAUCUCAUGCACUAUGAAUGCACAUGAAUACUUGCUCAGUGGUUCUUUGUAUAUGCAGAUCAGAGGCAGUCAACUGUCGGAGGUAAUGAAAUCAGCCAGUAGUGAGGCAGUUGACCUUAUAUCCGUAAGUCCUUCAAAUUUUUUGUCCUAGAUGACAUUCCCGAACUCAUUGGGUUUCCUAAUUUUCCUUUUCCUUCUACAUCUUGUAGUCUCUGUGCUCAUGGGAUCCUUGCAAGAGACCAAAAGCUGCGGAAGUUCUCCAACAUGCCUUCUUUAAGGUAAAACUAUUUUUCCGAUUGUUUUGUUGCUUUUUCUUUGCUCUGGAGACUAAUCGGUUUUCUUCUUGUCAUCCAACCAUUAGGAUUGUACAUAUGUUCCAGCUUCUGUCCGGCCAAAAGCUGCAGGCCCUCCUAAAACUCCUCCGGGUGGUUAGUAUACACACUUUUGCCCCAUAGCCUGUUCGUUCCUAAAGCCCUUGUUUUACUAUGAUUGGUCCAUUUGUUUCAGUUGGAGCAAGAGGACUUUCAGGACACAUUGCUCGGAGAUACUCCACUGGAGCUCUCUCCACAAGCAAACCUGCUGCCAACAUAUCUAUAAAACCGAGCAGCUUAUCUAAGAUCGGUAAUAUAUAUUAUCUCUUUUCUUGAAGUACUCAUAAUUAACUAGCAUUACCGUCUAAAUUGUAAAUCUGUUUAUCCAUCUUCCAGGUGUGCAAAGAAAACUUCAAUUGGAUCGCCAGGCACCACAGAAGAGUGCACGGCCCACUGAGAGUAACACCAAACAAACUACUAGUCGAGUACCGGCAAGGAAUAGCCCAGGCAAGUUUCCUAUAUAAAGCUGCUUUGCGUCCCAAAGCUUGUGGUCUGAUCAUGAAGAUCUUUUUUCUUUCUUUCACUGGAACCACAGGGAACGCGAACCCGAUAUUAAGGCAUUCACGCAGUUUACCUGAAACUGGCCGGGCAACGGUUCAGAAGGUUUCGACUAUCACCGAAAAGCUUGCUCAUAUGUCUGUGACCUCUCGAACACGCACGGCCGUGAAGCCCCCUGUCCCGCUGUUGAAGGCUGGGCAUCUCAAGUCAGACUUCCUCGGGAAAUCCGACGAAAUCCCUCCGGCAAAGAGAUUGACAAGAAAGUUGGUGAGCUAAAGGAGUAUAGAGUGAAGAACCGAUCAGCUGCAGCAGCGAGGCAUGUAGGCUACAGAGCGAAAACCAGGUUCGCCUCGGCGCCAACCGUGUGUUUUGCCUGUUCAUGGUCCUUGCGGUAGUUUCCUCCCCCUGCUUGCUUGGUUCAGGUGCCACGGUAGAGAAUGUGUUGUGAAUGUGCUCGAGCCUGCUGACCUUUCCCUGUACUGGGGUGUGGAUUUGCCCAUGCCCCGAGUUUGUCCCGUGUAUGAACAAAACAUGUGUGGUCUUGGUUUGGUUUGUGAACUAGUUUUCUCAAUCGUUCAUAUCGCAGACCGUUGUCCUGUUCAUGUGCAAUCUAACAGUCGACAAACCCUCCAAUGAAGAGGAUAAUUUGGCUUCGCUUGUACAGUUUGCGAGAUUUAAUAGAACACGUUAGUGUAUCCUGCCUGGUCAAAUUUUAAAUUUGUUGGGAAGUCCAUUCAUAUUUUUUGUUGCGCCGUGACAAUAUAUCUCCCUUACAUUUUCAAAGCUUUUAGGGUCUCUUUGGUUUGAAGUUUUUUGUUUUGUUUUGCAUUUGCAUUUGCUAUUGGUGAGUUUGCCUGAAAAUUGAAAGGCUGUAAGCCAACUUUUAGUCCAUUCGAUCCGAAAAAAUGGAUCGGGGUUCCACUAUCAAAUGGAUAAUUGGUGCAAGCUGAAGGAUAUUGCACCCCUCAUUCAUGAAAAAUUGGAAGGUGAGCGAGGCGCUCAAGGAAAAUGCGAAAAUGCUUGGAUUUAUAAAAUUAAGCUCUCCUAUGAUUUCUCCUGGGUUCAUAUCGUUGAGUUCAUUGACCUUUGGAUGCUUAUCCAUAUUUCCACCUUGAUGACCUCACUGAGGAUGGCAUUGUUGGGAAGCAUACAAAUGAUGAUCAUUACAUGACGACCUCUGCAAAUAAAGUGCAAUUCUUGGUGAUCAUCUUAUCCUCUAUGGAGCACACGGUUUGGAAGCUUGGCCCUCCCAAGGUCAAGUUUUUCAUGUGGCCUAUUCAAUUAAGGGUUUGGACGGCCGGCCGCUUGGCCAAGCAUGGAUGGCCAAAUUGCGGCCCUUGUCCGCUUUGCGGAAGGGAGGCAUCAUGCUUUGAUUUUGAAGCCUUGUCUUUGUCUGGCUUCAUCUUGGGACUUUUGAUACCUUCUUAUGGAUUGGUGGAUCAACCUCUCCGGGUUGACACCCAUGGCAUCUCUUACAAUGCUUGUGUAUUGGACAAUUUGAAACGAAAGGAAUUCCCGUGUCUUCCAUCACAAGAGUGCCCCUCCGUCUAUUUUGCUCAACAUGAUAAAGAAUGAGGCCAAGCUUUGAGUCAUCACCGUCUGUAGAUUUGUGAGGUGCCAGUUUGGGCGAGAUUUGUACUUGGCCAUGGCUGAAUUGUGGUCUGUACCACCACUUGAAUCGUUGAAACCCAUUGAGAAGGAAUGGCUACUGCAGGUCCUAGCUCCUCUAACUGAUACUCAGAGAAGUAUGGUGAUGCUAAUCUUUUGGAGAAGCUGGUAUGUCCGGAACGAAAUUAUUCACUUCAAACCUUCCCCACCUAUGGUUGUCUCGAUGCGGUUCUUACAGGAACAUAUGAAUAUUUUGUUCUGCAUCAAAAUAAACCCCCAUAUGGACCUGGCAAAGGGAAAGCACAACAUUAAUUUUGAACAAAGAGCCAUACCACAAGUGCAAGCCCCCGUUAAUGAAACUUCAUGGAAACUGCCUCAACAAGGUUGGGUCAAGCUUAGUACGGAUGGUUCUUACUCAUCGGAAGGUGGUGCGGGAGCUGGGAUGAUAUUGCCGAAUGUUGAUGGCACUAUUGCAUGGAAGGGGUGUCUUUUGCAAUUCAACGAUCUGAUCUUCCCAUUGAAAUCGAGAUGGAUUCGAGGGUGGCGGUGGAGAUGCUAUCCAGUGGUGUAGUGGAUCGUUCAGUUUAUGCUUCUUUAGUUGGUGAAAUUAAAUUUCUGUUAAACCUUAGGCAUUCUUGUAUUACUCAUGUCCCUGGCUGUCAGAAUAAAGCGAGUGAUAGGCAUGCCAGCUUUGCUAGAUUAGAAGGUCGGACCAUGACCUGGGUUGGGUCAGGACCUGAGGAUAUUGUGAAGAUUGUCCUGGAGGAUUGUAAGGACCUGGUAAUUGAGUAAUACAAGUUUUGUUUACCCGAAAAAAAAUAGUCAUCACCGUCUGCCAAAAAAUUAGGGUCAAUAAUGCCUGGAGAGUAAUCAUUUUAUCUUCUAAGGCUGGUCGCCUAUAACACAAACUCUAUUUUGCUCUUAAUUAAUAGAUGAGGCAAAACUUAUGCCUUUGUUUUGAAAAAAAUGAUAAUUGGUGUAAGUCAAUUAUUUGGGAGAAGAAAAGGAGGAAAGCUCCGCCCCGAGGCCGAGCCAGGAUAAAGCACUAGCCAGAGAUAGGCGGAGCAUUGACAUGGAGGAGGGGGUUUGCUUUUCGUGCUUGAUCGCCGCUCGGAUUAGGUAAAGUGCCGCCGCAACUAGAGGCAAGUUAGGGAGACGAGUGGCUAAUGAAGGGGUGGUUGGAGUAGGAAGAAAGGACAGAGGGAGAAGGAAAGGCUCAAUGAAAGUGUGUUUUUACUUUCUAGUCUCGGGCUCACAUGCACCCGGAUAAACAGUAAAAUCCAAAAAAAAUAUUACUGAAAAUCUAAAAAAAACUAUGUUUUUAGAUAAACACUGAUGAAUGUUUGAAUUGCAUGUGAAUUUUUGUUAUGAAAUCACAUUCGUGGAUGUGUGGGAAAAAAUAAAAUUAGUGCUUGAAAAUGAUACGAAAUCUUUUUGAAGUAUAGAUUCUGUUUUAAUAGCCCAGACCUCCACAAAUGCCAUUACAUCACAAAUUCUUGCACGCAGCUGAAACAGUCAAUCAAUGUUUACAUUAAUUUUUGUUUCAGAUUUUAGAUUUUUUUUUUGUUAUUCCCCCCUUCAGCUUUUACUGUUCAUAUGUGAGCAUGUGAGCUCGAGACUAGAAACUCAAUGUCCAUGCCACAUUUCUACCAAUAUUACUAUUCAUCAUCCAAGGUGCAGAAUAACUUAUUCUUCACCCGAGAUAAACUUUCGAUCACUUUAUAAACAAAUUACGUUUGGAAUACAAAUAUUUACAUUCAUAUUGAUUCACUACGUAAAAUUUGGUAUAAAAAAACAGAAAAAAGGUUAUAAGACCACAAAUAUCGUAUUUUAUGUAUGUUUUACACUAUGUUUUUACAUUCGUAAUUUUACGUAACAUAAAAUAUUUUAAUUUUACGUAACAUAAAAUAUUUUUUACGACGAGUAUAUAUAUUUUCUUACGUUCUCUUUUUACGUAUGAAAUAAGACACAAUUUACGAAACCUAAAAAUACGAUUCAUUGAUGCCUAAAUAGAGAGGGGGUGAAGAAUAAUUAUUUCUCACCCAGGGUGAUAUAUAUUUUGCCUGUUUCUUACCGUUGUGAAGUUCAUGUGAGAUUUAAACAGAUCAAAGUUCACACAAAGCAGGUAAAAAAAGAACAAAGAAACAAACGAAUCACACUGUUCAGCAAGAUACAAACCGAUCCAAAAAAAGGAAGAACCGGUAACUGUCCGGUAAACACAUUUUACACAAGGCGCAGCAGCCUGAACCAUCAACCUGCCGCCUCUCAAGACGAAUAGAACUAACGGCAGCACUAGCUUUAGUACAGUAUAAGUAUCACACCAUCACCAUCACUCUAACCUACAAGGCCCCCCUGGACCCGGGUCACCUGACGUACGUACGUGUUAGCUGGCUGCUUCAGUUCAGUGUGCCUCGCUCGCUCGUCGCUACAGAUACUGCGUGUGUAUCCGGUCCCGGUUCUGCUCCCACCACACCUUGGCCCGCUCCUCGCCGAACCGCUCCCGGCUGCAACCACACACACCAC